GUUUGGACUAAAAGCUUAUAGAAUUUACGGAAACAUAAUGAUGUUCAGAGCUGCAAGCUUGCUGCUGUUUUUAGUAAUUGCAUUGCUUUGCUGCGGAAGAGCAGUUUUUGCUGAAGAAUGUAUUCGACACGCUAAUGAUGCACUCACGGAUUCCAAGCUAGGCGAGACUGUCACUAAGGUGGAGUAGGAAAGCAAGCGUGUUAUAUUUUCCAAAGAUACUUCCAAAUACUACUGUAAUACUAUUUACAAAUCUUCUAGAUUCCUCCUGCGUCUCAUCAACACCAGCGCAGGAGAAAUCCAGAAGAUUUGUAAACAAUAAGUGCAUUUAAAAUGUAAAAUAAAAAACUGCUUCGAAA
This is a long non-coding RNA of Cylas formicarius (sweet potato weevil), 356 nucleotides long. RefSeq lists it as uncharacterized. NCBI's taxonomy places the organism in Eukaryota, Metazoa, Arthropoda, Insecta, Coleoptera, Brentidae. The record is from RefSeq and is a predicted model, not a curated record. The transcript has 2 exons.